Molecule: ribosomal RNA, 305 nt
Filed under: uncultured bacterium
Lineage: Bacteria
Description: bacterial SSU rRNA
Rfam family: Bacterial small subunit ribosomal RNA
Source: RNAcentral
UGCUCCUACGGGAGGCAGCAGUGAGGAAUAUUGGUCAAUGGACGGAAGUCUGAACCAGCCAUGCCGCGUGCAGGAAGACGGCUCUAUGAGUUGUAAACUGCUUUUGUACAAAGGUAAACCUGAAUACGUGUAUUCAGCUGAAAGUACUGUACGAAUAAGGACCGGCUAAUUCCGUGCCAGCAGCCGCGGUAAUACGGAAGGUCCGGGCGUUAUCCGGAUUUAUUGGGUUUAAAGGGAGCGUAGGCCGGCUUUUAAGUCAGCUGUGAAAGUCCGCGGCUCAACCGUGGAAUUGCAGUUGAAACUGG